CUGGUCAAAAUCUGGUGAAAAUCUUCUUUGUGAUAGAUUUUGUGGUGUGCCCCAUUAUUGAAUAUUUGAUAGUGCUCCCAUUGUUGAGCAUUUGGUGGUGUUCCCCAUUAUUGAAUAUGGAUACCCAGCAAGCUGACACAUGUCCAUCUGAGAAAAACACACCGUUUCAUUAAAACUCUGUGAUCGUGGGCUUUGGUUGCGUAAUGCAUGAUUGGGCUCCGUAUUUUGAAGGUGUAUUCGGCCCGAUGAGAUGGAUGUCGACUCUAACCUUAAUACGGCUGAAGCAAAGAACCAAAGUUCGUCUCUCUGAAACAUCGUCCUCUUGACUUCCUUGUUAUGUGAUUUCUGUCCAAGAAAAAACUCAUUGUAACACAUUCAAUCAACACUAAGAGUUUGCCAUUAUCGUUCACAUUCAUUCUCAGAAAACAUGUUUCCACCACUUUCAUUUAUUCCCAAUCACCACCUCUUUCAGCUUCUUCGCACUCAUUUACCUAUAGAGAGGCAUCUCCAUCGCCAUGCAUCUCAAAGAUGAAGGUUAUUAUCGUCUUUUUGUUGACCAAAUCAAUUUAGUAUGUAUUGUGAAAAGUCAAUCAUUUAUUUAUAUUAGUAAUGUUUAACGGUUACCUUUGACGAACAUAAAUGGCUUGAUCAACACAAAACAAAAGCUAAAUAGUUGUUUCUUAUUCUUAAAAAUUGAGGACUAGAAUAAAGAUUGAGGACUAGAAUAAUGUAAUUAAAUGGCUCACUUAAAAAUCAUAACUUUUAUCUCUGAAACAUCGUCCUCUUGACUUCCAUGUUCUGCGAUUUAUGUCCAAGAAAAACUCAUUGUAACACAUUCAAUCAACACUAAGAGUUCGCCAUUAUCGUUCACAUUCAUUUUCUGAAAACAUGUUUCCACCACUUUCAUUUAUUCCCAAUCACCACCUCUUUCAGCUUCUUCGCACUCAUUCACCUAUAGAUAGGCAUCUCCAUUGCCAUGAAUCUCAAAGAUGAAGGUUAUUAUCGUCUUUUUGU
RNAcentral lists this long non-coding RNA (1014 nucleotides) under Brassica napus (rape). RNAcentral's name for it is "long non-coding RNA (BNAP_LNC000056)". Lineage: Eukaryota; Viridiplantae; Streptophyta; Magnoliopsida; Brassicales; Brassicaceae. The record is from RNAcentral.